ACUUUCGCAAGAAAGUGGGGGUUGUAAGGUGAGAGCGUUCUAUUUAUAGAAGUAGAGUCAAAAAAUAGUGUAUUAGUUUAGAUAUCUGAAAAGAUAUACCCUAGAGGGUUAUAGUCCCGUGAACGAAAAUAUACUAUCUCUAUUGCUUUCAUUCUUGAGUACCUCGAGACACGAAUGGCUCGGGGGAAUCUGCCGGAACUAACCGGUAAGGCUAAAUACUCUUCAAGAUCGAUAGUGAACUAGUACCGUGAGGGAAAGGUGAAAAGUAGCCCGUCAAGGGCGGUGAAAUAGACCUGAAACCAUAUGCUUACAAGGAGUAGAAGCGGUGUCUCGCUUGUGCGAGGAAAAACUGAAAGAUGUAUUGUGUUGAAUUAUUCCUCCUUUUUAAAGGAGGUGGCUGGUACCCCAGACAGAGGAUUUGAAAUCCCUCGGCCUGGAGCCUGCUGAGUCGAUCGUUUGUGAUCGACACCUGUAGACGGCCUUUAGAAAAGGGAGAAUUUAAUACAGCAGAUAUCUUUAGAUUUUUAUUCGUAAAAGUGAGACACCGUGACUGCGUGCCUAUUGAAGAAUGAGCCAACGAGUUAAUGUAUGCUGCGAGCUAAGUCCUUUACCGGAUGGAGCUGCAGGGAAACCGAGUGUUAAUAGCGCGUCUGUAGUAUACAUUAGACCCGAAGCCAGGUGAGCUUGUCAUGCGCAGGGUGAACUCUCGAGAAAUCGAGAGGGAGGCCCGAACCGGUGAGCCGUUCAAUACUCUCGGAUGACGUGUGAUAAGGAGUGAUAAGCUAAUCGAACCUGGUAAUAGCUGGUUCUCUCCGAAAUAGCUUUUGGGCUAGCGUCGGAAUUACCUUUGAGGGGUAGAGCACUGGAAGGUCUUGACAGGUCGAAAGAUCCCGAGACCUAUCAAACUCCGAAUACUCAAAGUAAAUUUUCUGGCAGUUAGACUGUGGGGGCUAAGCUCCAUUGGUCAAAAGGGAAACAGCCCGGAUCUCCAUUUAAGGUCCCUAAAUCUAUGUUAAGUACGCUUAAGGUGGUAAGUUUUCUCAAACAAUGAGGAUGUUGGCUUAGAAGCAGCCAUCAUUUAAAGAAAGCGUAACAGCUCACUCAUCGAGAGAAUUUGCGCCGCAGAUAAUCGGGGUUAAACAUAGUACCGAAACUGAGGAUUGCAUAUGUCUUCGGACGUAUGCACUGGUAGGAGAGUAUUCGCAACUGCACUGAAGGUAAAGGGGUGACCCAUACUGGAGCGUUGCGAAGUAAGAAUGUUGGCACAAGUAACCACAAUGCAGGUGAGAUACCUGCACGCCGAAAGAUCAAGGUUUCCUUGGCUAUGUAAAUCAGCCAAGGGUUAGUCGGGCCUAAGGGAAUGGCGAAAGCCGUACUCGAUGGACACAUGGUUAAUAUUCCAUGACGUAUUGUGCGUGCGACGGGAUGACGAAGGGUAGUAUGUGUAGCGCAUUAUUGGAUUUGCGUUUGUGUCGUAAGGGUGAUUUCCAGGAAAAUCCGGAAGUCUGUGUUUAAUCACGCUCCAAGCGAUAUGAAGAUGCUCGGGUUCGCUCGGGUAAAUUAUACAAAGCACGCUUUCAAGAAAAAUCUCUAAGCAUAACGCACAGUACACCGUACCGCAAACCGACACAGGUGAUCAGCUCGAGUAGAGUAAGGCGAACGAGUGAUUUUUCUCCAAGGAACUCGGCAAAAAAGCAGCCGUAACUUCGGAAUAUGGCUUGCCCGUAGCAAUACGGGCCGCAGCGAAAGUAUCCCUGGCAACUGUUUAUCAAAAACACAGCUCCCUGCGAACUCGUAAGAGGAUGUAUAGGGGGUGACACCUGACCAAUGCCAGAAGGUCAAACGACGGUGGUACUAUGGUCGCAAGAUUGUAGUGCUGGAUGUUGUAAGCCCUGGUGAAUGUCGGCCGUAACUAUAACGGUCCUAAGGUUGUGUCUCUUGCGAAAGCGGAGACACAAGGACUGGGACUGUUAUAGGAAAAGAUAAAUAGUUUGACAGUGAAGUCAAUUACAAAAAAUGAAGCUACCUAUACUGUAGUAAUACAGUGUUAGUCCAGAUAUGGUUAAAAAGAGCACCAACGCCAUACACCCUAAGACAUUUUAAAUGUUUGGGUGAAGAUAGAGUCCUUCUUUGAGGAAUAGAAGAGCGAAAUUCCUUGUCAGGUAAGUUCUGACGUGCACGAAUAGUGUAAUGACUGGGGAACUGUCUCGGAGAAUAGCUCGGUGAAAAUACAGUACCGGUGAAGAUGCCGGUUACCUGCAGUUAGACGAAAAGACCCUAGAAGCUUUACUGCAGCUUGAUAUUGAGCAUAUGUUUUUGAUGCGUAGCGUAGAUGGGAGGAUUUGAAGUGUAUCUCUCGGGGUGCAUGGAUCCGCAAGUGAAAUACCAUUCUUUAAAAAUAUAUGUUCUAACCUGUACGGCAAAAACGCACAGGGACAUUAUCUGGUGGGCAGUUUUAGUGGGGCGCUAUCCUCCUAAAGAGUAACGGAGGAGUUUAUUAAGGUCAGCUAGCCGUGAAUGGAAACCAUGGCGAUAGUGUAAUGGCAUAAGCUGGCUUAACUGUGAGACGUACUUGUCAAGCAGAUGCGAAAGCAGAACAUAGUGAACCGACCAUUCGCAUUAGACGCGGUGGAAGAUUAUCGGAUAAAAGCUACUCUAGGGAUAACAGGCUGGUUGUGCCUAAGAGUUCAUAUCGACGGCACAGUUCGGCACCUCGAUGUCGGCUCAACUUAUCCUGGGGGUGGAGAAGCUCCCAAGGGUAUGGCUGUUCGCCAUUUAAAAAGUUACGCGAGCUGGGUUCAGACCGUUUAGUGGUUAAAUUUUGACCAUUGAACAGUCUGAAUCCCAUCGAAAUUUUCGUUUAUAUUAAAAAUAGUUAGGAAGUAGAUCAAUCAAACACGGCGGUCCCACAUAGCAAUAUGUGAAGAUCAAGUUGACUAGUAUCGGUGGAGGCCUAAACAUACCCAGUGUUGGCUAAUACCGAGGGAACAUAGUAGUUAGUAGUGGAUAGUUUAUAGUUGAUAGAUGGGGAGGGUAAAAUCUCCUUUUCUAAAAACUAAGGACUAAAAACUAAAGACUGUUCGUGACCCG
Molecule: ribosomal RNA, 3090 nt
Filed under: wastewater metagenome
Description: bacterial LSU rRNA
Rfam family: Bacterial large subunit ribosomal RNA
Source: RNAcentral